This is a long non-coding RNA of Hibiscus syriacus, 583 nucleotides long. RefSeq lists it as uncharacterized. The record is from RefSeq and is a predicted model, not a curated record. NCBI's taxonomy places the organism in Eukaryota, Viridiplantae, Streptophyta, Magnoliopsida, Malvales, Malvaceae. The transcript has 3 exons.
UCCACUUUGCACCAAGUUUUGGGGAAUGGUCAGGAGCGAUACUCUGAAGUCAUCGUCUCUUUCCUAAAUAUUUCCGGUUCUUUAAUUUUUUUAAUAGAAUCUGUGGGAGUACCCUUUAACUGAUGUUGUAAUUUGACUGAUGAUUUGACUGAAGUACCAUUUUACAGGAAGAAAAGUUCCGCCAUAUGUAAAAUCUGAACCUAUUCCUGUGGAGAAUAAAGAACCUGUGAAAGUGGUGGUUGCGGAUACCCUUGAAGAGAUAGUUUUCAAAUCAGGGAGAAAUGUUUUGCUCGAGUUUUAUGCUCCCUGAUGUGGACAUUGUCAGAAAUUGGCACCAAUCUUGGAUGAAGUUGAUGUCCACUAUGAAAAGGAUGCUAAUGUUUUGAUCGCAAAACUUGAUGGAAGUGCAAAUGAUAUCGAGGAUCCAAACUUUGAUGUUAAAGGUUACCCAACCAUUUACUUUAGAUCGACCGAUGGAAACAUAGCCGCAUAUGAAGGUGAUUGGACCAAGGAAGACAUCAUCGACUUCAUUGAAAAGAACAGGGACAAAACUGUUCAUCAAGAAUCAGUAAACGUAACUGUU